GACGAACGCUGGCGGCGUGCUUAACACAUGCAAGUCGAACGGAAAGGCCUUUUCGGAGGUACUCGAGUGGCGAACGGGUGGGUAACACGUGGGUGAUCUGCCCUGCACUCUGGGAUAAGCCUGGGAAACUGGGUCUAAUACCGGAUAGGACCGCACUUUAGUGUGUGUGGUGGAAAGUUUUUUCGGUGUAGGAUGAGCCCGCGGCCUAUCAGCUUGUUGGUGGGGUAAUGGCCUACCAAGGCGGCGACGGGUAGCCGGACUGAGAGGUUGGUCGGCCACAUUGGGACUGAGAUACGGCCCAGACUCCUACGGGAGGCAGCAGUGGGGAAUAUUGCACAAUGGGCGCAAGCCUGAUGCAGCGACGCCGCGUGGGGGAUGACGGCCUUCGGGUUGUAAACUCCUUUCGCCAGGGACGAAGCGUUUUGUGACGGUACCUGGAGAAGAAGCACCGGCUAACUACGUG
This 463-nucleotide ribosomal RNA is filed under the name uncultured bacterium. Its description in RNAcentral is "partial 16S ribosomal RNA". It matches the Rfam family "Bacterial small subunit ribosomal RNA", at positions 28 to 507 of the family's 1533-position model. The record is from RNAcentral.